CGUUGUUCGGAAUUACUGGGGGUAAAGCGCGUGUAGGCGGCUUGGCAAGUCGGGUGUGAAAGCCCCGGGCUCAACCUGGGAAUUGCAUUCGAGACUGCAUUGCUGGAGUACGGAAGAGGAAGGCGGAAUUCCCGGUGUAGCGGUGAAAUGCGUAGAUAUCGGGAGGAACAUCAGUGGCGAAGGCGGCCUUCUGGUCCAGUACUGACACUCAAGUGCGAAAGCGUGGGGAGCAAACAGG
RNAcentral lists this ribosomal RNA (238 nucleotides) under uncultured bacterium. RNAcentral's name for it is "partial 16S ribosomal RNA". It matches the Rfam family "Bacterial small subunit ribosomal RNA", at positions 539 to 776 of the family's 1533-position model. The record is from RNAcentral.